Molecule: non-coding RNA, 77 nt
Organism: Sporothrix brasiliensis 5110
Lineage: Eukaryota; Fungi; Ascomycota; Sordariomycetes; Ophiostomatales; Ophiostomataceae
Source: the annotation of a RefSeq genome assembly
GGCAAGAUGGCGGAGUGUGAACACGGGUCUGCUAUGCCCGUCCUUCGGGAGCGAGGGUUCACAUCCCGUUCUUGUCG